This 896-nucleotide long non-coding RNA is filed under the name Aotus nancymaae (Ma's night monkey). Its description in RNAcentral is "lncRNA (ENSANAG00000039204.1)". Lineage: Eukaryota; Metazoa; Chordata; Mammalia; Primates; Aotidae. The record is from RNAcentral.
CUUUCAGCUUCUCUCUCCAAUAACCAGGCAUGCAGGCCCCACCCCUGUCCUAGCAAAACCUCAGACAUCUGGGAUCCUCAGCUACCACAACCCUUUGCGAUAGAAAAUUCCUGCUUUACUUCAGAAUGUAACAACCAGGGCCCCUACACCUCCACCCUCACAUCUAGCAGUCUCGGCGCCCAACUCCCGGCACUCAGGUCUUGCUCCCUGGCCUGCCUCUCCUGCACCCCGGGGCCCCGCUUUCCACACAGCCCUGCUCCUCCCGGCCUGGCUGGCUGCCUGCGGGCCUCUCAGAGUCCUUCACCCGUCUCUCCAGUCUCGGAUCCUGACCCGUGGAUCUCAGCCUCCAGCCCUGCUCUAGCCCCGGCCUUGCCCUCGGGCACGGCCCCUUUCCUCUUCAGCCCUGGGGUCCUGCUCCCUGAGCCCGAAUCCUGUCCUCCUUGGAGAUCCCCGAAGAAGGAGUCUCCCAAGACCUCCCAGCUGUGGAGGGAGUCCAAGCCCAGGGGGAACUUGACAUACCACCAGUACAUGCCCCCAGAGCCCAGACAGAGAGCCAGGGCUGGCCCCCAAGCUGAGGGGUCCACCCUAGGUCCUCCGGGGCCACCUCUGUGGGAAGGGACAGACUCACAGCAGCCACAUCCUAGGUAUGACACCCAUUUCCCUUCUCCCGGGACCCAGAAAUCNNNNNNNNNNNNNNNNNNNNNNNNNGUUGUUAGCAGCAAAAUGUUUUAAAAUUUAGGUUUCAGGGCUGGGCACCAUGGUUCAUACCUGCAGUCCCAGCUACUCUGGAGGCGGAGAUAGGAGGAUCACUUGAGCCUGGGGGUUUGAGGUUGCAGUGAGCUAUGAUUGCACCAUUGCACUCCAGCCUGGGCAACAAGCGAGAUCCUUAAAAAAAA